Molecule: long non-coding RNA, 1193 nt
Filed under: Coturnix japonica (Japanese quail)
Lineage: Eukaryota; Metazoa; Chordata; Aves; Galliformes; Phasianidae
Description: lncRNA (ENSCJPG00005017630.1)
Source: RNAcentral
GGACAUUUCCUGAUUGUAUAAAAAUAACACUGAUGAGCCGACACUGUGAGCUCCUGAAUUCUCUUCAUUCUUCUCAUGGUUCAGGGGUUGCUCAGACAGUCUAGAACAAACAGGAACCUAUCUGGGACCUGGACAUCACUGCCCAGGAUUGUGCAAAUCUGUUCUAGGAGCCAAAAUAAAAAAGGGUUAAAGGUGACAGAAAUUCACUCUUGUCCUCCUACUCAGAAGUAGGCACAUUCUUUACUGAAUUUACUUUACUUUUAUGAAGAGGGAAAUGCUUGAGGCAUACCCACUUACUUUAGACUGCAGAGUGGACUGAGGUUUUGGCAUGUCCAUUUAAUAUCUUAACAGAGAGAGUGACUGCACAAACAUCAAGUGCAAUUUUCCCCUGAAACAGUUUCUACAUAGAUUAGGUGAACAAAGUACAACGUAUGCAGAGCCAUGUGAUACAAUAAUAUCAGAACCAAAAUAUGCACUGCUACCAGAGAUAGUAAGACUUUCCGAGUGAUUUGGGAGGCUUGCUUUCUCAUGCAUUGUGUGAUAUCACACCUUUAGGAGCCAAGUUACUUUAACUUGACCAACCAUUACCAGAAGAACCCAGCUUCCCUCACUGACCAUGUGCUCUGCAAGUAUGGUUUUGCAGUUUUCCUUCUCUCAGGCUUUGGUUGACACAAUCAGAGCACUGUGCCUAGAAGCUCUAGAUGACACAGAAUGCAGAAUAAUAACAGAGUUUGGAGUGAAUCCAAGAAGGAAUCAUUUUGACCAAUCUCUGCCUACAGUGGAACUGGUAUUGAUGUUAAUGGUUGGCACAGAGGAACCAAGGAGAUCUUUGAUUAUAAUUUGUAGGACAGAUGGCUCAGAACAGCAGAACUGAGCACACAGCAUCACGUGAAUCUGGGGAAAGAAAUACACCAGGACUGAGAGAAACCUGUAUUGGCAUUUCUGUGUUUGGUGGAAAAUGGCUGCUGGGGAGCACAUCUGGCUGGUGCCAAAUCUGCUUCUGAAACAGCUGAACACUGGCUUUUAUUCAGGAUUGAAUGAGAAGAACAAGUCCAUUCCUUGCACAGUCUGGGCAUCCCCCAGGUAGCAAAUGAAGUUUGAUAAAUUUUCCUACUUACUGAGUACUUACUUACUGAGUACUUACUUACUGUCUCCUAAAAACCAACCAGUGCAGAUAAAUGCUGCUUAAAGGC